UUUCAUAUUUUUUCACAGUUCCACCCAUUCCAGAUAACUUUGAGUCAUUGGUGAGAGUGAGUGAAAAGGUAUACAACAAGUUCUCUCUUAAGAUUGACUCCAGCCUGCUGAACAACACUAGUGGGCCAAUCACACAUGUUGGGGUGCUGAUGACAAGUAAUCUCUCUGAUGACACUUCUGAUUUUACAAAGUACUUGGGGAACACUUAUAAUGAGUGGAAGGCAGGGAGUACUCCAAGAUACCUGGCAACAGUCAAAAAGACCAUCCAAACACGCAGCGAAGAAAAUCCUCUGAGCAUACAAGUAGGAGAUGGAUCUCAGUGGGAGGGCUACAUUAAUGGUGCUCUGGAUGCCAGUCGAAAAUACCAAUAUGCUAUUGUGUUGUUCACCAGUCUG
Molecule: long non-coding RNA, 395 nt
Organism: Micropterus salmoides (largemouth bass)
Lineage: Eukaryota; Metazoa; Chordata; Actinopteri; Centrarchiformes; Centrarchidae
Exons: 3
Source: RefSeq, a predicted model, not a curated record